This is a long non-coding RNA of Bombina bombina (fire-bellied toad), 547 nucleotides long. RefSeq lists it as uncharacterized. NCBI's taxonomy places the organism in Eukaryota, Metazoa, Chordata, Amphibia, Anura, Bombinatoridae. The transcript is spliced from 4 exons. The record is from RefSeq and is a predicted model, not a curated record.
CAACUGCACGCCAGGGGCUCUGUGGGAGAGACAUGAAGAAGACACAUGGAGCUGGGUGUACCGUGUGACUCUGAGUAUGGAGGACACUGAGCUAUCGCAGGCGUGAUCUAGUGCCACGAUACAUGCGGCCAGUAUCUAUGGCAACGCCCAGGAGCAACCACUCCUCACCACCGUUGCCGAUAAGACGACCAAGUACUGGGGAUAAUUCCACCAGCAGUGGAGGUGGCUAGGGGGGGGAGGAGGAGGAGGAGAUGCCGCCUUUUGAGGAAGAGGAGGGGGAGUUAUUUAUCGAGGAAGCAUUGCCAAGGGAGGAAGAAGAGGAGGUGCCUAUAGUGGAAUAUCGAGAUCAGGGGACACAAACGGGACCAUUUCUGCAGCCGGUCUUUGACGAACUUGCAGAGGCCCUACGCGCAGUUGCUAGGGCAGUUCGUCAUAUGCAGCAGGCGCUAAAUGAUAUUUGAUUGUUUUGGUGUUUUGCUUUUGGUUUGGGUUAUUUAUAAAAAAAAUAUAAAAAAAGAAAAAUUAAAAAAUUAGUUUAUUGCAGUUA